Molecule: ribosomal RNA, 300 nt
Filed under: uncultured Sphingopyxis sp.
Lineage: Bacteria; Pseudomonadati; Pseudomonadota; Alphaproteobacteria; Sphingomonadales; Sphingopyxidaceae
Description: bacterial SSU rRNA
Rfam family: Bacterial small subunit ribosomal RNA (bases 53-300)
Source: RNAcentral
GGAUGUGUGGAGGCACGGAGCCGCGGGAAGCGGGAGGGGGCUGGCGUUUUGCGGAAUCACGGGGCGGUAUGCGCACCGAGGGGGACCUGCGAGUCAGGGGUGGAAUCCCUGGGCUCAACCUCGGAACUGACUUGGAGACGGUUGGUCUCGAGUCCGGAAGAGGUGGGUGGAAGUCCUAGUGGAGGGGUGAAAUUCGUAGAUAUUAGGAAGAACACCGGUGGCGAAGGCGGCCCACUGGUCCGGUACUGACGCUGAGGUGCGAAAGCGUGGGGAGCAAACAGGAUUAGAUACCGUGUAGUC